This 253-nucleotide ribosomal RNA is filed under the name uncultured bacterium. RNAcentral describes it as "partial 16S ribosomal RNA". It matches the Rfam family "Bacterial small subunit ribosomal RNA", at positions 524 to 776 of the family's 1533-position model. The record is from RNAcentral.
UGCGGAGGGGGCUAGCGUUGUUCGGAAUUACUGGGCGUAAAGCGCACGUAGGCGGCUUUGUAAGUUAGAGGUGAAAGCCCGGGGCUCAACUCCGGAAUUGCCUUUAAGACUGCAUCGCUAGAAUUGUGGAGAGGUGAGUGGAAUUCCGAGUGUAGAGGUGAAAUUCGUAGAUAUUCGGAAGAACACCAGUGGCGAAGGCGACUCACUGGACACAUAUUGACGCUGAGGUGCGAAAGCGUGGGGAGCAAACAGG